UAUCUAUUCCCUCCGUCCCAGAAUAAGUGUCGCUGAUUUAAUAUAAAGUUAUUACUAAAUCAGCGACACUUAUUCUGGGACGGAGGGAGUAUAUU
Non-coding RNA from Triticum urartu, 95 nucleotides. NCBI's taxonomy places the organism in Eukaryota, Viridiplantae, Streptophyta, Magnoliopsida, Poales, Poaceae. The record is from Rfam.